GCUCUUUAAAUAUUAAUCAGGGGGUCAUUGAUAUGCAAAUACAUUAAAGCCAAAUAAUGCUCCUGCAGCUGCAGACCAUGAAGGCAGCCUAGGCAGAAUGUGAACUCCCUCUCCAAAGCUAAUGGAAAUAUUUUAGAGCCCAGGUGCCGGAGGCCUGAGAGCAGGAUCCAUCCUAAUAAGAGUGAAACAUAAUGUUUCAGAGCUGGACAUUUUCUUUCUGUUUGGGAUACCUCUAAGGUUGGAUUGACUUUUAAGUGAAUUUUCAAUGGCCCAUGAACAAUCACGGUGAUGUCAACACCAAGUAGCCUUUCGUAUGCUAUGGUUCACUGCCCUGGAGAAGAUUGAAUGAGUUUGUGGCCGAAGGAAGUCAUUGGUGGUUCAUUUUGCUGAGGGCAGGGGAAACAGGAAGCAGUGAGGAUAGUAGAGAGGGGUGGUCAGGCCCUUGGAAAUGUGGACAAAACCAAUGUAGAUUUUGUGGGCUUUUAGAUAGAAGAAUUCUUGUGGCUGGAUUAAUUAGCAAUUUAGUCACAAGAAGCACUACUAAAAUCCAUUUCCACACACAGCUCAUAGAAAAUAAAAUGUCAAAAUUGAAAAAGGACCCCAGAGACAACCUCCUCAUCUUAUAAAUGAGGAAACUCAGGUCCAGGGUGGGGAAAUGAUUUGUCCAUAGUCAUAACAGCUAGCCUAAUGGCAGGUGAAUGGCUAGAACUCUGGUUGCUCCCUGCCAUGCAUAAUGUUUUUUAUCCAUACUGGCUCACCAAGGACAUGCCAUUUGCCAUAGAAGAAAGAUGGACAUUAUAAGACAUGAUUUUAGAGGAAAACAAAAUUAGCUGGUGGGGGAAGGAAUCAUCUUGUUUCCAGUCAUCUUAUAUCAACAGGAUGUACAUUAUAAUUUUUUUAGUCUUUACUGUACCCAGAGAAAUGAUAUUAAAAUAAUGCAAAUAAAAUUUUUGUGGUAGUAAAAAACUGGAAACCAAGUGAGAACUCAUUGCCUGAGGAAUGACUGAUUAUGAUAUUUGAUGAUGAUGAGAUUUUAUAAUUAUGAUCUAUGAAUAUAAUAAAAGACUAUGACUCUAUAAGAAAUGAUGCCUAUGAAGAAUUCAGAGAAGUAAUGGGAAGACUUCUAUAAAUGACUACAGGAUGAAAUAUGAAGAACCCAAAAAACAACCUAUACAAUGAUUACAAUAAUGUAAAUUUAAAAAAAUUAAAAGCAGCCAGAUUCUGACUAAUUGUAAGGACUAAUCUCAAUCCCAGAGAUUAAAUGAACAGAUAUAAAUGAAGAUGUAUCUCUGACAGCAGAGAAGUGAGAGACUACAUGAAUAGAAUAUUACGUAUGCUAUCAAAUAUCUUCACUG
Molecule: long non-coding RNA, 1355 nt
Organism: Monodelphis domestica (gray short-tailed opossum)
Lineage: Eukaryota; Metazoa; Chordata; Mammalia; Didelphimorphia; Didelphidae
Source: RefSeq, a predicted model, not a curated record